AGGCCGAAAGGCGUAGUCGAUGGGAAACAGGUUAAUAUUCCUGUACUUGGUGUUACUGCGAAGGGGGGACGGAGAAGGCUAUGUUAGCCGGGCGACGGUUGUCCCGGUUUAAGCAUGUAGGCUGAUUAUCCAGGCAAAUCCGGAUAAUCAAGGCUGAGGUGUGAUGACGAGGCACUACGGUGCUGAAGUAACAAAUGCCCUGCUUCCAGGAAAAGCCUCUAAGCAUCAGGUAACAUCAAAUCGUACCCCAAACCG
RNAcentral lists this ribosomal RNA (255 nucleotides) under Klebsiella pneumoniae. Its description in RNAcentral is "partial 23S ribosomal RNA". It matches the Rfam family "Bacterial large subunit ribosomal RNA", at positions 1399 to 1656 of the family's 2925-position model. The record is from RNAcentral. Lineage: Bacteria; Pseudomonadati; Pseudomonadota; Gammaproteobacteria; Enterobacterales; Enterobacteriaceae.